RNAcentral lists this long non-coding RNA (1163 nucleotides) under Canis lupus familiaris (dog). Its description in RNAcentral is "lncRNA (ENSCAFG00000053146.1, ENSCAFG00845018273.1)". Lineage: Eukaryota; Metazoa; Chordata; Mammalia; Carnivora; Canidae. The record is from RNAcentral.
AAGGUCAACUUAUCAAGAAUAUAUACAAUUUGGGGAUGCCUGGGUGGCUCAAUGGUUGAGCAUCUGCCUUCAGCUCAGGGUGUGAUCCCAGAGUCCAGGGAUCAAGUCCCACAUCAGGCUUCUUGAAUGCAGCCUGCUUCCUUUCCCUCUGCCUAUGUCUCUGCCUCUCUCUGUCUGUGUCUCUCAUGAAUAAACAAAUAAAAUCUUUUUCAAAAGAACAUAUACAAUUCUAAUUGUGUAGCAUCAAGCAACAGAACUGCAAAAUACAUGAAACAAAGACAGAAAUGAAAGGAGAAACAAAUACACAAUUAUAAUUAAAAACUUCAACAUCCCCUCUCAAUAGUUGAUAGGACAACUAGAUAGAACUCAACACCACCAUCAACCAACAGGAUCUGAUUGAUAUUUACCGAACACUCCAACAACAGUAGAAUGCAUAUUAUUUUUAAGUGUACAUGGGACAUACACCAACAUAGACCAUAUCCUGGGCCAUAAAACAAACCAACAAAAUUAGAAGAGUUAAAAUCAUACAUGGUAUAUUCAUUGACUACAAUUUUUAAAAAGAAUUUAUAACAAAGAUGACAAGAAACUCUUUAGACACUUGGAAACAAAACAACACAUUUGUAAAUAAUCCAUGAGUCAAAGAGGAAGUCUCAAGGGAAAUUUUUAAAAAUUCAUUGAACUCAAUGAAAAUGAAAAUACAACAUAUCAAAAUUUGUGGGCCCACAGUUAAGGCAGUGCUGACAGGAAAUAUAUAUAUUAAAGUUAGGCAUUGGAAAAGUCAACUGGGUGACUCAGUUGAUUGUCUGACUCUUGAUUUUGGCUCAGGUCAUGAUCUCAGAGUCAUGAAAUUGAGCUCCAUGUUAGGCUCCAUUGUCAGGGGCAGGGAGUCUGCUUGAGAUUCUCUCCCUUUCCCUCUGUCUAUCCCCACCGUGCUCACUCUCUCUCACAAGUAAAUAAACAGAUCUAAAAAGAAGAAAAAAGAGGGACACCUGGGUGGCUUAGUGGUUGUCUGUCUUUGGCUCAGGUCAUGCUCCUGGGGUCCUGGGAUGGAGUCCUGCAUCAGGCUUCCUGCAGGAAGCCUGCUUCUCCCUCUGCGUAUGUCUCUGCCUCUCUCUGUCUGUGUCUGUCAUGAAUAAAUAAAUAAAAUCUUUAGAAAAAAAAAA